GUGGGGAAUUUUGGACAAUGGGCGAAAGCCUGAUCCAGCAAUGCCGCGUGUGUGAAGAAGGCCUUCGGGUUGUAAAGCACUUUUGUCCGGAAAGAAAUCCUUUGGGUUAAUACCUCGGAGGGAUGACGGUACCGGAAGAAUAAGGACCGGCUAACUACGUGCCAGCAGCCGCGGUAAUACGUAGGGUCCGAGCGUUAAUCGGAAUUACUGGGCGUAAAGCGUGCGCAGGCGGUUUUGUAAGACAGAUGUGAAAUCCCCGGGCUUAACCUGGGAAUUGCAUUUGUGACUGCAAGGCUAGAGUGUGUCAGAGGGGGGUAGAAUUCCACGUGUAGCAGUGAAAUGCGUAGAGAUGUGGAGGAAUACCGAUGGCGAAGGCAGCCCCCUGGGAUAACACUGACGCUCAUGCACGAAAGCGUGGGGAGCAAACAGGAUUAGAAACCCUGGUAGUCC
RNAcentral lists this ribosomal RNA (450 nucleotides) under uncultured bacterium. Its description in RNAcentral is "partial 16S ribosomal RNA". It matches the Rfam family "Bacterial small subunit ribosomal RNA", at positions 354 to 796 of the family's 1533-position model. The record is from RNAcentral.